AUAAAUUGACGGGGUAUAAAUCAUUUUACGGAACUUGACUUUCCUUGUUAUUUUAACACCUAAUCUUAUUUACAUAGCUAUAUAGAUUCAUAUGGACACAAAAUUUCCAGGGAGGUUGCACUGUAUAUAUACAGAAGAUUUCAUUCAAAGAGAGGAGAAAUUAUACAGAGGUGAAUGUAGUAGGAUCCGAUGGGGCUGAAAAAAGGAACGCCUCCAAUAAUAUACAACUCUUGCUAAUGUUAAAUAUUUGAUUUGAUUCAGGUCAGACAGCAAUGGAUGCCCAACACUUUACCAGCGGAACUGCAAUCACGAACCCAAAGUCUUGUGUAAGGGAAAGCACUAUGCACAAGUAAUAUAAUAAUACCUUACGAACUUUGAAAGUUAUAAUAUAUCAAAAUCAAGCUUCAUAUAACUUACGAACUUCUUCUUUUUCUUUUUGUCAAUUUGAGUUUGAAGCUCUACUUGUCGGGUAAAGGCAUCGUCAAGUGACUACAGCAAACAGAAAAAAGAGUUACAGAAAUAUAAGAUUCUUUGUUAUCAUAUAUCAAUAUUUUUCUCAAAUGAUGAUGAUGUUGUAGUAAGAAGGAAAAGCAACAGUACU
RNAcentral lists this long non-coding RNA (601 nucleotides) under Phaseolus vulgaris (common bean). RNAcentral's name for it is "long non-coding RNA (PVUL_LNC000065)". Lineage: Eukaryota; Viridiplantae; Streptophyta; Magnoliopsida; Fabales; Fabaceae. The record is from RNAcentral.